ACGGGAGGCAGCAGUGGGGAAUAUUGGACAAUGGGGGAAACCCUGAUCCAGCGACGCCGCGUGAGUGAAGAAGUAUUUCGGUAUGUAAAGCUCUAUCAGCAAGGAAGAAAAUGACGGUACUUGACUAAGAAGCCCCGGCUAACUACGUGCCAGCAGCCGCGGUAAUACGUAGGGGGCAAGCGUUAUCCGGAUUUACUGGGUGUAAAGGGCGCGUAGGCGGGGAUGCAAGUCAGGUGUGAAAUCUAUGGGCUUAACCCAUAAACUGCAUUUGAAACUGUAUCUCUUGAGUGUCGGAGAGGUAGAUGGAAUUCCUAGUGUAGCGGUGAAAUGCGUAGAUAUUAGGAGGAACACCAGUGGCGAAGGCGAUCUACUGGACGAUAACUGACGCUGAGGCGCGAAAGCGUGGGGAGCAAACAGGAUUAGAUACCCUGGUA
RNAcentral lists this ribosomal RNA (434 nucleotides) under uncultured Lachnospiraceae bacterium. RNAcentral describes it as "bacterial SSU rRNA". It matches the Rfam family "Bacterial small subunit ribosomal RNA", at positions 341 to 792 of the family's 1533-position model. The record is from RNAcentral. Lineage: Bacteria; Bacillati; Bacillota; Clostridia; Lachnospirales; Lachnospiraceae.